RNAcentral lists this transfer RNA (71 nucleotides) under Marmota monax (woodchuck). Its description in RNAcentral is "tRNA.Undet". The record is from RNAcentral. Lineage: Eukaryota; Metazoa; Chordata; Mammalia; Rodentia; Sciuridae.
UGUAUUGUAGCUCAGGGGUAGAGCGCUUGCCUAGCUGUAUGAGGCCCUGGGUUCAGUCCCAAGCACCACAU